AUGUCCACAAUACCCGGAUUUAGUCAGAUCCAAUUCGAGGGAUUUUGUAGGUUCAUUAAUCAAGCCUUAGCAGAAGAACUUGACAAGUUUCCAACAAUUAAAGAUCCAGAUCACGAAAUUGCAUUUCAAUUAUUUGCGAAAGGAUAUCAAUUGCUAGAACCCUCGAUAAAAGAAAGAGAUGUUGUGUAUGAAUCACUCACCUAUUCUUCCGAAUUAUAUGUAUCUGCGAGAUUAAUUUUUGGUUUCGAUGUGCAAAAGCAAACCAUUUCUAUCGGAAACAUUCCUAUAAUGAAUUCCUUAGGAACCUUUAUUAUAAAUGGAAUAUACCGAAUUGUGAUCAAUCAAAUGUUGCUAAGUCCUGGUAUUUACUACCGCUCGGAAUUAGAUCAUAAGGGAAUUUCUAUCUACACUGGCACUAUAAUAUCAGAUUUGGGGGAGAUCGGAAUUACCAAUUGA
RNAcentral lists this ribosomal RNA (456 nucleotides) under Triticum aestivum (bread wheat). RNAcentral describes it as "partial small subunit ribosomal RNA". Lineage: Eukaryota; Viridiplantae; Streptophyta; Magnoliopsida; Poales; Poaceae. The record is from RNAcentral.